This 372-nucleotide ribosomal RNA is filed under the name uncultured organism. RNAcentral's name for it is "bacterial SSU rRNA". It matches the Rfam family "Bacterial small subunit ribosomal RNA", at positions 526 to 896 of the family's 1533-position model. The record is from RNAcentral.
CAGAGGGGGCUAGCGUUGUCCGGAAUUACUGGGCGUAAAGGGCGCGUAGGUGGCCUGUUAAGUCGAACGUGAAAUCCCCGGGCUCAACCCGGGAACUGCGUCCGAGACUGGCAGGCUCGAAUCCGGGAGAGGGAUGUGGAAUUCCAGGUGUAGCGGUGAAAUGCGUAGAUAUCUGGAGGAACACCGGUGGCGAAGGCGGCAUCCUGGACCGGUAUUGACGCUGAGGCGCGAAAGCCAGGGGAGCAAACGGGAUUAGAUACCCCGGUAGUCCUGGCCCUAAACGAUGAAUGCUUGGUGUGGCGGGUAUCGAUCCCUGCCGUGCCGAAGCUAACGCAUUAAGCAUUCCGCCUGGGGAGUACGGUCGCAAGGCUG